This 112-nucleotide ribosomal RNA is filed under the name Caerostris extrusa. Lineage: Eukaryota; Metazoa; Arthropoda; Arachnida; Araneae; Araneidae. RNAcentral also lists the same sequence under 1 other name. The record is from RNAcentral.
AACGGCCAUACCAUGCUGAAUAUACCGGUUCUCGUUAGAUCACCGAAGUCAAGCAUCAUUGGGCGCGGUCAGUACUUGGGUGGGUGACCACCUGGGAACAUCGCGUGCCGUU